Non-coding RNA from Gossypium hirsutum (cotton), 107 nucleotides. The record is from Rfam. Lineage: Eukaryota; Viridiplantae; Streptophyta; Magnoliopsida; Malvales; Malvaceae.
AAUCAAUGUAUCAGACAUUUUAGAAUUAAUUCUUUAAAUCGCUCCCAAGUUUCAUAUAGCAUUUCAUCCUUCAAUUGUUGAAAAGAUGUGACGUCAUUUCUAAGCUU